This 208-nucleotide ribosomal RNA is filed under the name uncultured bacterium. Its description in RNAcentral is "partial 16S ribosomal RNA". It matches the Rfam family "Bacterial small subunit ribosomal RNA", at positions 568 to 774 of the family's 1533-position model. The record is from RNAcentral.
CUCGUAGGCGGUUGCGUAAGUCGGAUGUGAAAACUCAGGGCUUAACUCUGAGACGCCAUCCGAUACUGCGCUGACUUGAGUCCGGUAGAGGAGUGUGGAAUUCCUAGUGUAGCGGUGAAAUGCGCAGAUAUUAGGAGGAACACCUAUUGCGAAGGCAGCACUCUGGGCCGGAACUGACGCUGAGGAGCGAAAGCAUGGGUAGCAAACA